This is a long non-coding RNA of Notothenia coriiceps (black rockcod), 481 nucleotides long. RefSeq lists it as uncharacterized. Lineage: Eukaryota; Metazoa; Chordata; Actinopteri; Perciformes; Nototheniidae. The transcript is spliced from 3 exons. The record is from RefSeq and is a predicted model, not a curated record.
UCACAGGCGAGUAAGAAAAUCAAUUAAGUUAUGAAAAAUACCAUUAAUUGCCUUUCUUUGUCGCCGCAGCUCAUGAAGAAAUGGCGGAUCUCCAGACGUAGUAUAUUUGAGGACAAACACUUCGCAUCUAAUGGCGUGUUUUCGGACCAUAAAGACCAUCCCAAUCGACCUGGAUAUUUACGUUUUUUUGGAAUACUGAAGAAUAUCUUCCAAACUGAUGAGAAUGAGCUGAUGGUUGUGGAAGUCUUCAAAAAGACGUUGCAAAAAAGAGAGAGGCCUUCUGGAAGAUGCCAAGAAAAAAACAACAGAAUCCACAGCCAGUCAAGUUGGAUUCUGAAGAUGGUGUAGCCAUUGAAGCUCCAGGAAACCUCAACUUAGACGCAGACUUCCUUUUGGGACAAGACAUUGAGUUUGGUGAUCCUGAUCAUGACAACAAGAUUCUAGGCCUGGACAAGUUUUCAGGUUUGUAAAGUUUAAUUUU